UCCUACGGGGCGCAGCAGUGGGGAAUAUUGCACAAUGGGGGAAACCCUGAUGCAGCGACGCCGCGUGAGCGAAGAAGGCUUUCGGGUUGUAAACUUCUUUUAAGAGGGAAGAGAAGAAGACGGUACCUCUUGAAUAAGCCACGGCUAACUACGUGCCAGCAGCCGCGGUAAUACGUAGGUGGCAAGCGUUGUCCGGAUUUACUGGGUGUAAAGGGCGUGCAGCCGGGCUGACAAGUCAGAUGUGAAAUCCCGCGGCUCAACCGCGGAACUGCAUUUGAAACUGUCAGUCUUGAGUACCGGAGAGG
Molecule: ribosomal RNA, 305 nt
Filed under: uncultured bacterium
Lineage: Bacteria
Description: bacterial SSU rRNA
Rfam family: Bacterial small subunit ribosomal RNA
Source: RNAcentral